AUUGAACGCUGGCGGCAUGCCUUACACAUGCAAGUCGAACGGCAGCACGGGUGCUUGCACCUGGUGGCGAGUGGCGAACGGGUGAGUAAUACAUCGGAACAUGUCCUGUAGUGGGGGAUAGCCCGGCGAAAGCCGGAUUAAUACCGCAUACGAUCUACGGAUGAAAGCGGGGGACCUUCGGGCCUCGCGCUAUGGGGUUGGCCGAUGGCUGAUUAGCUAGUUGGUGGGGUAAAGGCCUACCAAGGCGACGAUCAGUAGCUGGUCUGAGAGGACGACCAGCCACACUGGAACUGAGACACGGCCCAGACUCCUACGGGAGGCAGCAGUGGGGAAUUUUGGACAAUGGGCGAAAGCCUGAUCCAGCAAUGCCGCGUGUGUGAAGAAGGCCUUCGGGUUGUAAAGCACUUUUGUCCGGAAAGAAAUCCUUGGCCCUAAUACGGUCGGGGGAUGACGGUAUCGGAAGAAUAAGCACCGGCUAACUACGUG
Molecule: ribosomal RNA, 486 nt
Filed under: uncultured bacterium
Lineage: Bacteria
Description: partial 16S ribosomal RNA
Rfam family: Bacterial small subunit ribosomal RNA
Source: RNAcentral